UAUUUGAAUGACUGUAAAGUAUUUAGUUUGCAGACAAAGGGCUGCCGUGCAUGAACAGGGUGUGGUGCAGCGCUGCAGGCUGUUGACUUUCCUCUCCUAUUUAAGCCGCCACAUACAGUCUCUUCUGCACCGUGUGGACUCAGUUUUGCAUUGGAACAACAGACACUCUGAAAAUGGAGAGAGAAUUUUCCGGUCUGGAAGUUGCCGUGGCUGCCAUGUUCGGCGUCUACAUGUCACGCAGAGGACCAGAUGGAAAACUGAGCAAAGAUGCCUUUUUAAAAUUAGUGAAGGAAGAAAUGUCAAUGUACGAUCAGGGAAUGGGAGACGAGAUGUUCAAAAAUAUUGACCAGAACAAGGACGGAUCUGUGGAGUUCAAGGAGUUUGCAAUGAUGGUUGCCAUGAUCGCCUCAAGUAACUACGAAAUCCUGGAGUCAGCAGUGAAGCAAAUGGAAAAUAAAAAGAAAUGUAUAGAAGAAAUAAAGAAAUAAAGAAAUAAAAACGUGCAAACCAUUGCUGAAGAAAUAAAAACAUCAUCAUCCGACUUACUUCAGAAUCAGAAAUACUUUUUACUUUUAUUGAUCUCCAAGGGGAAAUUGUCUUUUUUGGUUUCACAAUGAAGUAAUAAAAGCUUGUUUUAUGCCAA
Molecule: long non-coding RNA, 643 nt
Organism: Cololabis saira (Pacific saury)
Lineage: Eukaryota; Metazoa; Chordata; Actinopteri; Beloniformes; Belonidae
Exons: 3
Source: RefSeq, a predicted model, not a curated record